RNAcentral lists this ribosomal RNA (266 nucleotides) under uncultured archaeon. RNAcentral describes it as "partial 16S ribosomal RNA". It matches the Rfam family "Archaeal small subunit ribosomal RNA", at positions 717 to 982 of the family's 1478-position model. The record is from RNAcentral.
AGACGUCUUACAUUAGACUACCCCCGUAGUCCCAGCCGUAAACUAUGCGCGUUAGGUGUAUCGGUGACCACGAGUUACCGAGGUGCCGAAGGGAAACCGUGAAACGUGCCGCCUGGGAAGUACGGUCGCAAGGCUGAAACUUAAAGGAAUUGGCGGGGAGCACCACAACGGGUGGAGCCUGCGGUUUAAUUGGACUCAACGCCGGGAAGCUCACCGGAUAAGACAGCGGAAUGAUUGCCGGGCUGAAGACUCUGCAUGACUAGCUG